CAGCAGCCGCGGUAAUACAGAGGGUGCGAGCGUUAAUCGGAUUUACUGGGCGUAAAGCGUGCGUAGGUGGUUUGUUAAGUUGGAUGUGAAAGCCCCGGGCUCAACCUGGGAACUGCAUCCAAAACUGGCAAGCUAGAGUACGGUAGAGGGUGGUGGAAUUUCCUGUGUAGCGGUGAAAUGCGUAGAUAUAGGAAGGAACACCAGUGGCGAAGGCGACCACCUGGACUGAUACUGACACUGAGGUGCGAAAGCGUGGGGAGCAAACAGGAUUAGAUACCCCCGUAGUCCCUGUCUCUUAUAA
Molecule: ribosomal RNA, 301 nt
Filed under: uncultured bacterium
Lineage: Bacteria
Description: partial 16S ribosomal RNA
Rfam family: Bacterial small subunit ribosomal RNA
Source: RNAcentral